Molecule: ribosomal RNA, 437 nt
Filed under: uncultured bacterium
Lineage: Bacteria
Description: bacterial SSU rRNA
Rfam family: Bacterial small subunit ribosomal RNA
Source: RNAcentral
GACGAACGCUGGCGGCGUGCCUAACACAUGCAAGUCGAGCGAUGAAGCCCUUCGGGGUGGAUUAGCGGCGGACGGGUGAGCAACACGUGGGUAACCUGCCUCAAAGAGGGGGAUAGCCUCCCGAAAGGGAGAUUAAUACCGCAUAACAUUAGAUUUUCGCAUGAAGAACUAAUUAAAGGAGUAAUCCGCUUUGAGAUGGACCCGCGGCGCAUUAGCUAGUUGGUGAGGUAAAGGCUCACCAAGGCGACGAUGCGUAGCCGACCUGAGAGGGUGAUCGGCCACAUUGGAACUGAGACACGGUCCAGACUCCUACGGGAGGCAGCAGUGGGGAAUAUUGCACAAUGGGCGAAAGCCUGAUGCAGCAACGCCGCGUGAGUGAUGAAGGCCUUCGGGUUGUAAAGCUCUGUCUUUGGGGACGAUAAUGACGGUACCCAAGG